RNAcentral lists this ribosomal RNA (292 nucleotides) under uncultured bacterium. Its description in RNAcentral is "partial 16S ribosomal RNA". It matches the Rfam family "Bacterial small subunit ribosomal RNA", at positions 505 to 796 of the family's 1533-position model. The record is from RNAcentral.
GUGCCAGCCGCCGCGGUAAUACAGAGGGUGCAAGCGUUGUUCGGAAUUAUUGGGCGUAAAGCGCGUGUAGGCGGCUAUGUAAGUCGGGUGUGAAAUCCCUCAGCUUAACUGAGGAAGUGCGCCCGAAACUGUGUGGCUUGAGUACCGGAGAGGAUGGCGGAAUUCCCCAAGUAGAGGUGAAAUUCGUAGAUAUGGGGAGGAACACCGGUGGCGAAGGCGGCCAUCUGGACGGUCACUGACGCUGAGACGCGAAAGCGUGGGUAGCAAACAGGAUUAGAAACCCUCGUAGUCC